UACGUAGGGUGCAAGCGUUAAUCGGAAUUACUGGGCGUAAAGCGUGCGCAGGCGGUUAUGUAAGACAGGUGUGAAAUCCCCGGGCUUAACCUGGGAACUGCAUUUGUGACUGCAUAGCUAGAGUACGGUAGAGGGGGAUGGAAUUCCGCGUGUAGUGGUGAAAUGCGUAGAGAUGCGGAAGAACACCAGUGGCGAAGGCGGUCAACUGGCCUCAGAUUGACACUCAGACGCGAAGGCAUGGGUAGCGAACGGG
Molecule: ribosomal RNA, 253 nt
Filed under: uncultured bacterium
Lineage: Bacteria
Description: partial 16S ribosomal RNA
Rfam family: Bacterial small subunit ribosomal RNA
Source: RNAcentral